This 465-nucleotide ribosomal RNA is filed under the name uncultured bacterium. RNAcentral's name for it is "partial 16S ribosomal RNA". It matches the Rfam family "Bacterial small subunit ribosomal RNA", at positions 28 to 507 of the family's 1533-position model. The record is from RNAcentral.
GACGAACGCUGGCGGCGUGCUUAACACAUGCAAGUCGAACGGAAAGGCCCUGCUUGCAGGGUACUCGAGUGGCGAACGGGUGAGUAACACGUGGGUGAUCUGCCCUGCACUUCGGGAUAAGCCUGGGAAACUGGGUCUAAUACCGGAUAGGAGCCAUUUUUAGUGUGAUGGUUGGAAAGUUUUUUCGGUGUAGGAUGAGCUCGCGGCCUAUCAGCUUGUUGGUGGGGUAAUGGCCUACCAAGGCGGCGACGGGUAGCCGGCCUGAGAGGGUGGACGGCCACAUUGGGACUGAGAUACGGCCCAGACUCCUACGGGAGGCAGCAGUGGGGAAUAUUGCACAAUGGGCGCAAGCCUGAUGCAGCGACGCCGCGUGGGGGAUGACGGCCUUCGGGUUGUAAACUCCUUUCGCUAGUGACGAAGCUUUUUGUGACGGUACCUAGAUAAGAAGCACCGGCUAACUACGUG